UACGUAGGGGACUAGCGUUGUUCGGAAUCACUGGGCGUAAAGCGCACGUAGGCGGAUUUGUAAGUCAACUGUGAAAUCCCGGGGCUCAACCUCGGAACUGCCUUUGAUACUGCGAAUCUUGAGUCCGAUAGAGGUGGGUGGAAUUCCUAGUGUAGAGGUGAAAUGCGUAGAUAUUAGGAAGAACACCAGUGGCGAAGGCGGCCCACUGGAUCGGUACUGACGCUGAGGUGCGAAAGCGUGGGGAGCAAACCGG
Molecule: ribosomal RNA, 253 nt
Filed under: uncultured bacterium
Lineage: Bacteria
Description: partial 16S ribosomal RNA
Rfam family: Bacterial small subunit ribosomal RNA
Source: RNAcentral